Molecule: ribosomal RNA, 492 nt
Filed under: uncultured bacterium
Lineage: Bacteria
Description: partial 16S ribosomal RNA
Rfam family: Bacterial small subunit ribosomal RNA
Source: RNAcentral
AGUGAACGCUGGCGGUAGGCCUAACACAUGCAAGUCGAACGGCAGCACAGUAAGUGCUUGCUCUUACGGGUGGCGAGUGGCGGACGUGUGAGGAAUACAUCGGAAUCUACUUUUUCGUGGGGGAUAACGUAGGGAAACGUACGCUCAUACCGCAUACGACGCACGGGUGAAAGCAGGGGAUCUUCUGACCUUGCGCGAUUGGACGCGCCGAUGUCGGAUUGGCUAGUUGGAGGGGUAAAGGCCCACCUGGGCGACGAUCGGUAGAUGGUCUGAGAGGAUGAUCACCCGCACUAGAGCUGAGACACGCACCCUACUCCUGCGGGAGGGACCAGAGGGGAAUAUUGGACAAUAGGCGGAAGCCUGAUCCAACCAUACCGCGUGUGUGGAGGAAACCUCGAGGUUGUAAAGCCCUUUUCUUGGUAAAGAAAAGCAGCAGGUUAUUACCCCGCUGUUCUGACGGUAACCAGAGAAUAAGCACCGGCUAACUUCGUG